This 434-nucleotide ribosomal RNA is filed under the name uncultured bacterium. RNAcentral describes it as "partial 16S ribosomal RNA". It matches the Rfam family "Bacterial small subunit ribosomal RNA", at positions 29 to 507 of the family's 1533-position model. The record is from RNAcentral.
AGCGAACGCUGGCGGCAGGCCUAACACAUGCCAGUCGAACGAACCUUUCGGGGUUAGUGGCGGACGGGUGAGUAACACGUGGGAACGUGCCUUUAGGUUCAGAAUAACUCAGGGAAACUUGUGCUAAUACCGAAUGUGCCCUUCGGGGGAAAGAUUUAUCGCCUUUAGAGCGGCCCGCGUCUGAUUAGCUAGUUGGUUGAGGUAAUGGCUCACCAAGGCGACGAUCAGUAGCUGGUCUGAGAGGAUGAUCAGCCACAUUGGGACUGAGACACGGCCCAAACUCCUACGGGAGGCAGCAGUGGGGAAUCUUGCGCAAUGGGCGAAAGCCUGACGCAGCCAUGCCGCGUGAAUGAUGAAGGUCUUAGGAUUGUAAAAUUCUUUCACCGGGGACGAUAAUGACGGUACCCGGAGAAGAAGCCCCGGCUAACUUCGUG